GCGAUGGUAGUCUAGUCUGGUAGGACACGACCUUGCCAAGGUUGAGACUUACCGUGUAAAUGCACGGUAUCCAACAAACCCGGGUUCAAAUCCCGGCCUUCGCA
This 104-nucleotide transfer RNA is filed under the name Candidatus Aenigmatarchaeota archaeon. RNAcentral's name for it is "tRNA-Gly". It matches the Rfam family "tRNA". From Rfam's summary of the family: Transfer RNA (tRNA) molecules are approximately 80 nucleotides in length. Their secondary structure includes four short double-helical elements and three loops (D, anti-codon, and T loops). Further hydrogen bonds mediate the characteristic L-shaped molecular structure. tRNAs have two regions of fundamental functional importance: the anti-codon, which is responsible for specific mRNA codon recognition, and the 3' end, to which the tRNAs corresponding amino acid is attached (by aminoacyl-tRNA synthetases). tRNAs cope with the degeneracy of the genetic code in two manners: having more than one tRNA (with a specific anti-codon) for a particular amino acid; and 'wobble' base-pairing, i.e. permitting non-standard base-pairing at the 3rd anti-codon position. Lineage: Archaea; Nanobdellati; Candidatus Aenigmatarchaeota. The record is from RNAcentral.